This 562-nucleotide ribosomal RNA is filed under the name uncultured bacterium. Its description in RNAcentral is "bacterial SSU rRNA". It matches the Rfam family "Bacterial small subunit ribosomal RNA", at positions 338 to 916 of the family's 1533-position model. The record is from RNAcentral.
CCUACGGGAGGCAGCAGUGGGGAAUCUUGCGCAAUGGGCGAAAGCCUGACGCAGCAACGCCGCGUGCGGGAAGAAGGCUUUCGGGCUGUAAACCGCUUUCAGCAGGAAUGAAAAUGACGGUACCUGCAGAAGAAGGAGCGGCCAACUAUGUGCCAGCAGCCGCGGUGAUACAUAGGCUUCAAGCGUUGUCCGGAUUUAUUGGGCGUAAAGAGUUCGUAGGCGGUCAAGUAAGUCGGGUGUGAAAAUUCUGGGCUCAACCCAGAGACGCCACCCGAUACUGCUUAACUUGAGUUCGAUAGGGGAGUGGGGAAUUCCUAGUGUAGCGGUGAAAUGCGCAGAUAUUAGGAGGAACACCGGUGGCGAAGGCGCCACUCUGGAUCGAUACUGACGCUGAGGAACGAAAGCAUGGGUAGCAAACAGGAUUAGAUACCCUGGUAGUCCAUGCCGUAAACGGUGGGCACUAGGUGUGGGUUUCUAUUAACGAAAUCCGCGCCGUCGCUAACGCAUUAAGUGCCCCGCCUGGGGAGUACGGUCGCAAGCUAAAACUCAAAGGAAUUGACGG